RNAcentral lists this non-coding RNA (258 nucleotides) under Clostridium collagenovorans DSM 3089. RNAcentral's name for it is "Bacterial small subunit ribosomal RNA". It matches the Rfam family "Bacterial small subunit ribosomal RNA", at positions 262 to 537 of the family's 1533-position model. The record is from Rfam by way of RNAcentral. Lineage: Bacteria; Bacillati; Bacillota; Clostridia; Eubacteriales; Clostridiaceae.
GGCUCACCAAGGCAACGAUGCGUAGCCGACCUGAGAGGGUGAUCGGCCACAUUGGGACUGAGACACGGCCCAGACUCCUACGGGAGGCAGCAGUGGGGAAUAUUGCGCAAUGGGGGAAACCCUGACGCAGCAACGCCGCGUGAGUGAUGAAGGUCUUCGGAUUGUAAAGCUCUGUCUUAUGGGAAGAUAAUGACGGUACCAUAGGAGGAAGCCACGGCUAACUACGUGCCAGCAGCCGCGGUAAUACGUAGGUGGCAA